This 602-nucleotide ribosomal RNA is filed under the name Teratosphaeriaceae sp. RNAcentral's name for it is "partial large subunit ribosomal RNA". It matches the Rfam family "Eukaryotic large subunit ribosomal RNA", at positions 38 to 667 of the family's 3401-position model. Lineage: Eukaryota; Fungi; Ascomycota; Dothideomycetes; Mycosphaerellales; Teratosphaeriaceae. The record is from RNAcentral.
GCAUAUCAAUAAGCGGAGGAAAAGAAACCAACAGGGAUUGCCCUAGUAACGGCGAGUGAAGCGGCAACAGCUCAAAUUUGAAAUCUGGCGCAAGCCCGAGUUGUAAUUUGUAGAGGAUGCUUCUGGGCAGCGGCCGGUCUAAGUUCCUUGGAACAGGACGUCAUAGAGGGUGAGAAUCCCGUAUGCGACCGGUUGGCACCCGUCACGUAGCUCCUUCGACGAGUCGAGUUGUUUGGGAAUGCAGCUCUAAAUGGGAGGUAAAUGCCUUCUAAAGCUAAAUACCGGCCAGAGACCGAUAGCGCACAAGUAGAGUGAUCGAAAGAUGAAAAGCACUUUGGAAAGAGAGUUAAACAGCACGUGAAAUUGUUGAAAGGGAAGCGCAUGCAACCAGACUUGUCGGCGGUGUUCCGCCGGUCUUCUGACCGGUUCACUCGCCGUCGGCAGGCCAGCAUCAUCUGGGAGCGCCGGAUAAAGGCGUGGGGAAUGUGGCUCUUCGGAGUGUUAUAGCCCCGCGUGCAAUACGGCGCCUCCCGGGUGAGGUCCGCGCUUCGGCUAGGAUGCUGGCGUAAUGGUUGUCUGCGGCCCGUCUUGAAACACGGACC